RNAcentral lists this ribosomal RNA (447 nucleotides) under uncultured bacterium. Its description in RNAcentral is "bacterial SSU rRNA". It matches the Rfam family "Bacterial small subunit ribosomal RNA", at positions 330 to 793 of the family's 1533-position model. The record is from RNAcentral.
UCCAGACUCCUACGGGAGGCAGCAGUGGGGAAUAUUGCACAAUGGGGGAAACCCUGAUGCAGCAACGCCGCGUGAGUGAAGAAGUAUUUCGGUAUGUAAAGCUCUAUCAGCAGGGAAGAAGAUGACGGUACCUGAGUAAGAAGCCCCGGCUAACUACGUGCCAGCAGCCGCGGUAAUACGUAGGGGGCAAGCGUUAUCCGGAUUUACUGGGCGUAAAGGGAGCGUAGACGGUGAGACAAGUCUGAAGUGAAAGCCCGGGGCUCAACCCCGGGACUGCAUUUGGAACUGUGUGGCUGGAGUGUCGGAGAGGCAGGCGGAAUUCCUAGUGUAGCGGUGAAAUGCGUAGAUAUUAGGAGGAACACCAGUGGCGAAGGCGGCCUGCUGGACGAUGACUGACGUUGAGGCUCGAAAGCGUGGGGAGCAAACAGGAUUAGAUACCCGCGUACG